GACGAACGCUGGCGGCGUGCUUAACACAUGCAAGUCGAACGGAAAGGCCCUGCUUUUGCUGGGUGCUCGAGUGGCGAACGGGUGAGUAACACGCGAGUAACCUGCCCUUGACUUUGGGAUAACUUCAGGAAACUGGGGCUAAUACCGGAUAGGAGCUCCUGCUGCAUGGUGGGGGUUGGAAAGUUUCGGUGGUUGGGGAUGGACUCGCGGCUUAUCAGCUUGUUGGUGGGGUAGUGGCUUACCAAGGCUUUGACGGGUAGCCGGCCUGAGAGGGUGACCGGCCACAAUGGGACUGAGAUACGGCCCAGACGCCUACGGGAGGCAGCAGUGGGGAGUAUUGCACAAUGGGCGGAAGCCUGAGGCAACAACGCCGCGUGCGGGAUGACGGCCUUCGAGUUAUAAACCGCUUUCGCCUGUGACAAAGCGUGAGUGACGGUAAUGGGUAAAGAAGCACCGGCUAACUACGUG
Molecule: ribosomal RNA, 468 nt
Filed under: uncultured bacterium
Lineage: Bacteria
Description: partial 16S ribosomal RNA
Rfam family: Bacterial small subunit ribosomal RNA
Source: RNAcentral